RNAcentral lists this transfer RNA (71 nucleotides) under Podosphaera xanthii. RNAcentral's name for it is "tRNA-Met". It matches the Rfam family "tRNA". From Rfam's summary of the family: Transfer RNA (tRNA) molecules are approximately 80 nucleotides in length. Lineage: Eukaryota; Fungi; Ascomycota; Leotiomycetes; Helotiales; Erysiphaceae. The record is from RNAcentral.
GUAAGUUGGUGGAAUAGUUUACACACUCGGCUCAUGACCGAGGUUAUAGAGGUGCAAGUCCUCUACUUACA